GUCCAAACUCAUUACAAUAAAUAGCUAGGUUCUCUUAAAAAUCUGCCCAGUUCCUCUCUAUCUUAUCCAUGGAAUUUCUACUGUGGGUUUUUCAAAUCCAACAAGUCGGACCAAUUUGAUAUGGUUAGGAACAAUUUGAAAUGUAAAAUGAGAUUUUUGAAUUGAGAAAUUAAAUUUGUAUUGAAAUGGAAAUGGUGGAAUGUUGAUUAUAAUUAAGUAUUCUCAAUAACAAUGUUCACUCUCUACCUCACCAAUUUUAAAAAGGGGAUAACUAUUGAAAUACAAGAACAAAGAUAGCAAGAAGAUAAAUGGCUGUAAUCAACCCUCAAGAAAGGAUUUCCGUGCAGAUUUGCUCUGCCCUUCUGAACCAGAGAAACCCUAAUAUUUACAAAGCCUCUUUCCAUUCCCCACUUCUUCUCUUUAUACUAAUUUCCAUCCCUUUUUUGCCAGUUGUCCCUCCAUGCGAUCCAUCCUCCAUGAUUCCUUCCAACGGCCCCUUCAUUUUGUUUGGCAUCCUUUCAGAAUUCUCCUUGCUCAACUCCAUGUACCUAUUAGAAACCCUCAAAUCAAGAUGAAAAUGGUAUUCUUGAUAAAGGGAAAAAAUAAGAGUUAUA
RNAcentral lists this unclassified non-coding RNA (614 nucleotides) under Hevea brasiliensis (rubber tree). Lineage: Eukaryota; Viridiplantae; Streptophyta; Magnoliopsida; Malpighiales; Euphorbiaceae. The record is from RNAcentral.